UGUGGUUCGGUCAGACCAAUCUGUGUGUGACUGCCUGCAGCCCAGGUAGUGAUGAUUGUCUUUAUGAUCAAUGGCAGUCUGUGAUUCGGUCAGACCAAUCUGUGUGUGACUGCCUGCAGCCCAGGUAGUGAUGAUUGUCUUUAUGAUCAAUGGCAGUCUGUGGUUCGGUCAGACCAAUCUGUGUAUGACUGCCUUAACCCCCUAUUAGUGAUGAUUGUCUUUAGCCUAGAGAAUCUGUAGUACAUGUUGUGCCAAGUGGUUGUAGUACACAUACCUGUUAAGUGCCUAUAAUCAUCACAUUUUAAUUUUUAUAUGGCUUUCAUCUACUUAAGGUACUAUUUGUUGUGAAGUCUGCUGUAAAUGUUAUGAGCUGUCCAUACAUGUGUGUGUAUAAUCAUGUCCAGAUUCCAAUGAUUUGUAGAUGUUGCUCAAUAUGACCUCACAUGUUGAAAGUGGUAAAUAUACUUUAUGCUCUUAUCA
Haliotis rubra (blacklip abalone) is the source of this 480-nucleotide long non-coding RNA. RefSeq lists it as uncharacterized. The transcript is spliced from 2 exons. The record is from RefSeq and is a predicted model, not a curated record. NCBI's taxonomy places the organism in Eukaryota, Metazoa, Mollusca, Gastropoda, Lepetellida, Haliotidae.